UUCCCUUCCAUUCCCUUCCAUUCCCUUGCUCUCCCUCCACACUACACCCCCAUUUUCCCUUCCCUUCCACUCCCUUCCAUUCCCUUGCUCUCCCUUCCCACUACAUCCCCCAUUUCCCUUCCCUUCCCUUCCAUUCCAUGCUCUCCCUUGCAUACCAUUCCCACUACACCCCCCAUUUCCCCUCCCUUCCAUUCCCUUUAUCUCCCUUCCCCCUACACCCCCCAUUUCCCUUCCCUUCCAUUCCCUUGCUCUAUCUUCCCACUACACACGCCUUUUCCCUUCCCGUCCUUUCCCUUGCUUUCCCUUCCCACUUCAUUCCCCAUUUCCCUUCCCUUCCAUUCCCUACAAUUCCCUUUCUCUCCCUUCCUCUCCCUUCCCACUACACCCCCCAAUUACCUUCCCUUCCAUUUGCUUACUCUUCCUUCCCAAUACACCCCCAAUUCCCUUCCCAUCCAUUCCCUUGCUCUCCCUUCCCGCUACACACCCCAUUUCCCUUCCUUUCCAUUCCCUUGCUCUCCCUUCCCACUACACCCACCAUUUCCCUUCCCACCCAUUCCCUUCCUCCCUCUUUCCACUACACCCUGCAUUUCCCUUCCCUUCCAUUCCCUUCCAUUCCCUUCCAUUCCCUUGCUCUCCCUUCCCUCUACUACCCGCAUUUCCUUUCCCUUCCAUUCCCAUAUUCUCCCUUCCCACUACACUCCCCUUUUACCUUCACUCCCAUUCCCUUCCUCUCCCUUGCUCUCUCUCUCCACUACACCCGCCAUUUCCCUUGCCUUCCAUUCCCUUCCACUCCCUUCCAUUCACUUGGUCUCCCUUCCCACUACAACCCGCAUUUCCUUUCCCUUCCAUUCCCUUAUUCCCUUCCCAGUACACUCCCCUUUUCCCUUCCCUUCCAUUCCCUUACCUUACCUUCAGUUCCCUUGCUCUCCCACCCCACUGCACCACCCUUUUUCCUUCCCUCCCAUUCCUUUCUAUUUUCUUGCUCUCCCAUCCCACUUCAACCCCAUUUCCCUACCCUUCCAUUCCCUUCUAUUCCCUUGCUCUCCCUUCCCACUGCAGCAACAUUUCCCUUCCAUUCCAUUCCCUUGCUCUCCCUUCCCACUACAGCCCCCAUUUACCUUCCCUACCAUUCCCUUGGUCUCCGUUGCAUCCUCCUCGCACUCCACCCCCCAUUUUUCUUCCCUUCCAUUCCCUUUAUCUCCCUUCCCACUACACCUCCCAUUUCCCUUCCCUUCCAUUCCCUUGCUCUCCCUUCCCACUAUACCCCAGAUUUCCCUUCCCUUCCCUUCACUUCCGUUCCCUUGCUCUCCCUUUCCACUACUACCACCAUUUCCCCUCCCUUCCAUUCCCUUCCAUAACCGUGCUCUCUCUUCCCAGUACACCUCCCUUUUCCCUUCCCUUCCAUUCCCGGGCAUUCCCUUCCAUUCACCUUCUACCCCUUCCCACUGCACCCCCCUUUUCCCUUCCCUUCCAUUCCCUUCCUCUCUUCCCACUACACUCCCCUUUUCCAUUCCAUUCCAUUCCCUUUACUUACCUUCAAUUGCCUCGCUCUCCCUCCCCAGUACACCCCUUAUUUCCCUUCCCUUCCAUUCCCUUCAAAUUCCUUGCUCUCUCAUCCCACUACACCCCCAAUUUCCCUUCCCGUCCAUUCCCUUCCAUUCCCUUCCAUUCACUUGCUCUCCGUUCCCACUUCUCCCCGCAUUUCCCUUCCCUUCCAUUCCCUUAUUCUCCCUUCACACUACACUCCCCUUUUACCUUCCCUUCCAUUCUCUUCCUUUACCUUGUAUUCCCUUGCUCUCCCUCCCCAAUACACCCCCCUUUUCCUUUGCCUCCCAUUCCCUUCCAUUCCCUUUCUCUCCCUUCGCUCUAUACACCCCAUUUCCCUUCCCUUCUAUUCCCUAUCUCUCCCUUCCCACAACAAAACCCCCCGUUUGACUUCCCUUCCAUUCCCUUCCCUUCCAUUCCAUUCCCUUCCAUUCCAUUUCUCUACCUUCCCACAGCAACCCCAUUUCCCUUCCCUUCCAUUCCCUUCCACUCCCUACCCACUACUCCCCCCAUUUCCCUUACCUUCCAUUCCCUUCAAUUCCCUUGCUCUCCCUUCCCACUACAACCCCCGUUUCCCUUCCCUUCUAUUCCCUUCCAUUCUCUUGCUCUCCCUUCCCAGUACAACCCCUAUUUCCCUUCCCUUCCAUUCUCUUGCUCUCCCUUCCCACUACACCCCCAUUUCCCUUCCCUUCCUUUCCCUUGCUCUCCCUUCCCACUUCAUCCCCCAUUUCCCUUCCCUUCCAUUCCCUUCAAGUCCUUUGCUGUCCCUUGCUCUCCCUUCCCACUUCCCCCCCCGUUUCACUUCCCUUCAAUUUCGUUGCACUCCCUUCCCACUAUUCCCCCCAUUUCCCUUCCCUUCCAUUCCCUUGCUCUCCCUUCUCACUACACCCCCCAUUUCCCUUUCCUUCCAUUCCCUUUGCUCUUCCUUCCCACUAUACCCCACAUUUCCCUUCCAUUCCCUUCCAUUCCCUUCCUCUCCCUUCCAUCUGCAACCCCAUUUCCCUUCCCUUCCAUUCCCUUCUGCUCCCUACCCACUACACUCCCCAUUUCCCUUCUUUUCCUUACCCUUACUCUCCCUCCCCACUACACCCCCCUUUUCCCUUCCCUACCAUUCCCUUUC
This 2665-nucleotide long non-coding RNA is filed under the name Numida meleagris (helmeted guineafowl). RNAcentral describes it as "lncRNA (ENSNMEG00000002400.1)". Lineage: Eukaryota; Metazoa; Chordata; Aves; Galliformes; Numididae. The record is from RNAcentral.